CUGGAGCCCUGCUGGGGCCCUGUUGGGAUCCACUGGGACCCUGGUGGGACCAGCUGGGACCCUGCUGGGACCAACGGGGACCCCCUGGAACCCUGCUGGGGCCCUGUUGGGAUCCACUGGGACCCUGGUGGGACCAGCUGGGACCCUGCUGGGACCAACGGGGACCCCCUGGAACCCUGCUGGGGCCCUGUUGGGAUCCACUGGGACCCUGGUGGGACCAGCUGGGACCCUGCUGGGCCCCACGGGGACCCCCUGGAACCCUGCUGGGGCCAACUGGGAUCCACUGGGACCCCGGUGGGACCAGCUGGGACCCUGCUGGGCCCCACGGGGACCCCCUGGAACCCUGCUGGGGCCAACUGGGAUCCACUGGGACCCCGGUGGGACCAGCUGGGACCCUGCUGGGCCCCACGGGGACCCCCUGGAACCCUGCUGGGGCCAACUGGGAUCCACUGGGACCCCGGUGGGACCAGCUGGGACCCUGCUGGGCCCCACGGGGACCCCCUGGAACCCUGCUGGGGCCAACUGGGAUCCACUGGGACCCCGGUGGGACCAGCUGGGACCCUGCUGGGCCCCACGGGGACCCCCUGGAACCCUGCUGGGGCCCUGUUGGGAUCCACUGGGACCCUGGUGGGACCAGCUGGGACCCUGCUGGGACCAACGGGGACCCCCUGGAACCCUGCUGGGGCCAACUGGGAUCCACUGGGACCCCGGUGGGACCAGCUGGGACCCUGCUGGGACCAACUGGGGUCAACUGGAACCCUGCUGGGGCCAACUGGGAUCCACUGGGACCCUGCUGGGACCAGCUGAGACCCGCUGGGUCCCUGCUGGGACCAACUGGGAGCCAACUGGGAUCAAGCAGGAAUAACUGGAAGCAACUGAGGUCAAGCGGGAUCAACUGGGACCAUGCUGGCAUCAACUGGGGGCCAACUGGGAUCAACCAGGACCAUGCUGGGAUCAACUGGGGGCCAACUGGGAUGAACUGGGACCAUGUUGGGAUCGACUGGGAUCAAUAGGAACUGUACUGGAGCCAACCGGGACACUGCUGGAUUCAACUGGGAUCAACCGGGACCAUGUUGGGAUCGACUGGGACCAACUGGGAGCCGCCCCCACCCAAACUGGCCUGGAACUGGGCCGGCGACCCCUCC
RNAcentral lists this long non-coding RNA (1145 nucleotides) under Struthio camelus australis. RNAcentral describes it as "lncRNA (ENSSCUG00000019009.1)". Lineage: Eukaryota; Metazoa; Chordata; Aves; Struthioniformes; Struthionidae. The record is from RNAcentral.